UUUUUUUGUCUAAUAAAAGAGAUAAUACAAGGCUAACAGGAGUCCCAUCCUUGAAUAAUCAUCAGCAGUUGUUGUUUAUUUAACCGAAGCCUGUUUGAUUAGAAAAUUACCUUAUGUUGUUGAUUUUUUUUAAAGCCCAGUUUUAGAAACAAACAUAAGUAGCAAGACACAGUAAGUAGCUGUUUACUGUGCUGAGUAGUGCCAAUUUCACAUAUCUUGCUCAGCUCGCAUGAACUCUAGAAAUCCCCACGUUCAUGCUUGCUCAGUCCAACUUUCAUUUUAUUUGAUGUGUUUCUUAAGAGACAAAUAUGUUGCUGGAUGUGUCUUGCACAUUCUUAGGUCCUCGCUCAGGCUGCUGCUUCAUUGUGAGUACAGCCAUCUUGGAUGGCAAGAGGUAUUCAAAGAAACUGGCAACCAGGAUUCACUAAGGAAUGGAGAUCUCCUGCUAAGCAAGAGCUACUGUGGUCACUGAGUGUCUGUGAAAUGAAAUGAAAACUCUGCUUUAAAAGGAUCUGCUGCUAGCUCUGACUGAUGUAUGUUCACCUUCAGCAGGGUAGCAAUGCAUCUGCAGUUAGUAUUUUAUCUGGUUUGGGUUUUACUUUCCACACUGAGAAAGGCAGUGAUGUUGAUAGCUCAGUGCGUGACAGAGAGCCUAAAAACAUCCAAAAGGAGUUGUCGUAAAAGGAAGAAUAUUGAUUACUCUCUGUCUUCGGUGACUGCUGAGUUAACUUGUGGCAGGUGCAUAUGCAAGAUUAUUGUGGACUGGCAAAUAAAAUAAACUGAAUACUUGAAAUAAAUUUGUUGAGAAAAUAGUAAGAAUUGGUGUGAUUUCUCAUCUUUCAUUUACCUUUUCUUGUACAGCUCUUUUCUUUGCCAGUGAUAGCAAAGCAUAAAUAAUACCUUAUUCUCUAUUUUAACUAGUUCCAUGUAUUAAUUAUAUAUUUUAAUCCAUAAUUAAUUGGUUUUGCCCAUUCUCCUUCACAGUGAUUUGCUAGUUGAAUCUAUUUAUGCUAGGCUGUUCACGUAGGGUAGCUCACUGAACGAGCACAGACAUCACAACACUUAAUGUUCUAUAUCUAGACCGGAAUCAAUCUUCAGUGAGUUAGGUGUAUAGGUCUAGGUAGGUCUAGGUAGACUGCCUUUAUGCAUGCAAGGAGUCCAGAUGUUUUACAUCCAUCACUUCACAUCAUUUACCACCUAGGCUGGACAUGCCCUAAGAUGCUUCAUCUUCUGUCAGCAGAGCUCUUUACAUCCAGAACUGCUUAAGGCUUGAUACCUGCAGAUUACCUUAACAUCUUCAUAAAAUGGCUAGCAUACUUAUGUUCCAGCCCACACUCUUCAAGAAUGUCAGUGGGCAUUAAGGUCAUGUCCCUUGCUUAGAAUUUGGUCAUGAUUCUUGGUCAUUUCAAUCUGUAUUAGAUUUCUCUCCUGCUUUAUCAAUGUUUGAAACAAUUUUAGCAAUGCGUCCUGAAGGCAAAGUAUACUAGCCUUGUAUGGAGUUUCUGUGAAGAGAACAGAUCUCUUCCCAGUUCCAUCAAAAGAUUUUUGAUUACUUAAAAUUUCAGAUUAGCCACGCUGACUGGAUCCAGUGCUCACAGAGGUACUGACAUUACUUACAGGCUUACAAAUCACCAUGUAUUUCAAAGCUUUCUUGUGCAUACACUGAUUGAUAUUUGUAGUAACAAGUCAUAUAUCUUAUUAUUGUGCUUACUUGUUAUUAAUAUAAGAAUUUAUUGGCUAAAUCUUGAUGCCAAGAAACCAAUCCGGUCUGACAUAAGGCCUUGUGACAUCAAAACAACUCCCACUAUCUGAAAUAAGGAACGAAAUAAGGGACUGUGCACUUUCACCAAGGGGUGAAUGUAUGUCCACUGAGAUCAAAGCAAAGAACUUCCAAAUUCCAGCAUCAGGGGAACCAGAUUACCCAGGCAAAGCAGUGGCAUAUUCAGUGACUGAGGAUUUCACUGCCCUCUUGAAAACAAAAGGUGUGAUAACCUAUAGGACAGACUGUAGGCAAUAGCCAUUUGCUUUAAAAAUGAUAGAAAUACUAGUCACAUCUACUCACAUACACAUCCACAUCAGCACUUUGUUUUUAGAAGUCUGGCUUUCAUCAUAUUGCAUUAAUUUGCAAGGUAAGCUCUCUUGUUUUGUAUUGCAAUGCUGGUGAGCUUAGGAGGUUCACAGUAUAUUGCAAACUAGCUUUUAAAGACAGCAGUAAACAGUAUAAAUAAAUAUCCGGAUCAGAAUCCAACUUUUGAAGCCAUAGGGAGAGCACAAGUGUUUCUAUAACCUUCCUGUGGAGUUUCCUGUUUUAGACAUUUAACUGCAUUACUUUUAUAGCCUUCUGCAUUUCUAUUUCAACCUCUGGUAAAAAAAAAAAUCUGAUAAAUCACCUUAUCUUUUACUAAAUGUUUUUCAUUGUUUAUCCCUUAUUCCUUCAGCAAUGUUGUCUGCAAGUUUAAUCUUAAUUAAAUAUACGAUCAACUACUUUGCUUGAUCAGGGUCUUAUACAUCACAUAAGCUGGUGUUUUUCCAGUUAAACUUUUUUU
Molecule: long non-coding RNA, 2546 nt
Organism: Strigops habroptila (Kakapo)
Lineage: Eukaryota; Metazoa; Chordata; Aves; Psittaciformes; Psittacidae
Source: Ensembl